AAGUUAUUGUUUUGGAUAUAUUGUAAAACAGAUCGAACUAACAAUAAAAAAAAUUAACAGCAUAUAGUACUUAAAUACUAACUAGAUUUGCAAUACUAAUAAACAAAAUCUAAAAUUAACAAUUUACUAUUUUUGCCUCUAGUACAUUUUAAAAUAGAUUGAACAUGUGGUAAUGAAUUAAGAACUAAAUGUAGGUAAAUUCUAACGAGUGUUACGAGUCUUGCACAACGAAACUAUCUAAUUAUCCAAUCUAAUUUCUUUGCUCCACUAGCAUUGAUUGAUAUCCAUUGAUUCGUCAAAAGAAGUUGUCUUUGCUCUUGACAUGCUACAAAAUAAGGUGAAUAAGAUAUCAUGUGUUAACAAUUACAUACAGGGCAUAGUUAAUCAAAUCCCAAUUUGUACGCCUAUAUGAACUCUAUGUAACCAACGAACAACUAUAUAGUAAAUUCAUUCUUACAUUAUGUGUAUGCACAUGACAAUGUGUAAGGCUAACAACCUAUUACAGAUUCAAACAAUAGACUGACUUUUGUAAAUUUAUGACCAUGUAAGCAUACAAAACAUAGAACACUACUUCAUACCCACAAACAACUUGUACACUCCACAGAAAAAUACUAAUAUCAACUAUACCAAAGUUUCUAGAAUACAUUCCAAAUCAUGUAGUUACUUUUUGCAGCGCUAUAUCUAAUCUCCUUUUACAAAAAUAUAUAAUCAAGUAAUUAACACCUAACAUGAUGUACAUUUUUAUAAACUGAUUGUACCUUAUAGAUCAUCCUGUGUAAAGUGCUCACGAACAAACUAAUACUCUUCAUACAAGUAAAAUUACACAUCCAUUAUAGAGAGAUGCACAAGUUGAUUAAAGGGCCAAUAACCAUUCCAAAGUUAUACGCACCAUUGCACUGCCUUUUAUAGAUAUACACAGUCAAGUAACUAACAUCUAAUAUAUUGUACAUUUUUGUAAACUGAUUGUAUCUCAUGAAUCACCCCAUGUAAAGUGCUUAUAGGCAAAUUAGUAUUAGCUAUACAAAUAAAAUUACACACCUACGGCAGCCUGCAAGGAGAUGCACAAGUGGGUCAAAGCACCAAUAACCAUUCCAAAUAUAUGCAUACCAUUGCACUAUGCAUGUGGUUGCAAUGACUAAUUGCAAUAUGCAUAUAGACAAAUAACUGCAUGUUCAACAAUUUCUACGCAUUGUACUUGGUUGGUUACACGGUGUACAUUAUUUCAACCAGAUUAUACAUUCACUAAGUAUUUAUAUAGAUGCUACUUAAUGAAGUAAACUAUAGUGUAUGCAUAAAAUUUUAUUGACCGAUGUUACAAUGCUAAAAUUGUUCUUGUGGUUGGUUGGAUGUGAUUCCUAUGUCUUCUAUUAGUAACGAUGGUAAUAAACCAGCCAACACAUUAAAUGAAUCACUAUCAAUUAAACAUAGGCACACUACUAAGUCAUCUUGUAACCAUUUUUUUGCAUUGCAUAAGGCACACUAAACAAUAAGUACAUUUAGCCUAAUAUAUAUAAAUUAUUUCAAACACUCAUACCAAUUAAGUUUGAAAUAAUUCACUUCAAUUACUAGAUAGCUGAUAUAUGAAUAAGUACUAAUCUUAAAAAAUGAGGUACCACUCAUUAAUGUUUAAUAAUGUGUGCACUUUCCUCUCUUUUUUAGCCUCUAUUCCUUCUUUUUUUCGUCCAUUGUGAUUUCUCUAAGCAGAUUUAACAUUUUAAUGUAAAUGGUUAUUAAUUUACAAUCCAACAUUGAUGUAAAGGCACACUCACUAGAACAUCUUAUAAUCCAUCCUAAUCAUUCACUUUGUUUACUAUUACUCUUAAUGUACUUCUGUUUUACAUCGAUGUAAUCACCUAUAAACACCUAAUAAUUCUAUCUAGACCAUAAGAUGUCCCUAUUAACUCACACAAAGAAAAAUAUAACUUCAAAAAUUUCCUUUUUUUUAUCUGCCUAAAACCUUGACUACGUUGUUGAUCUAUUGUUGUUAUUGUAGUCAAUUACCCUUACUUAUCCCCUAAUAAUAGCUCUUUCUACUAAUUGGUUUGAAAGUUGUCCUUUUUUUUUUUUUGCAAACAUUUGGCGUGCAAAAUUUCUCUUUACUCUCCUUUCUUGUGUAAUCCAUCAAUUGAUUAAACUUCUACUAUUCAAAGGGUUUCCAUGGCGACUACAAGUAAAAUAGAUGGACGCCAUUUAUCAAAAAAUGGAAAUUAAGUCAUUGGUUUGCAACAUUGUUGCCUGAAGGGUUUAUGUGGAUGCAAUUGGGUGUUCUUGUUCAGAUCCCACCACCUUCUACUAUCAGAUCUCCAGAACCUUUUCCUUCAGCAAGUAGUUCUUCCUUCUUCUCAGUGUAAUGAUUGAUGGAUGAUAGUAUAUUUCCACGGCUCUUCUUUGGCACUCCUCAUCUGCAACUUUCUUGUUUUUGAAUGUUAUUUUACCCUAGUUCUAGAGUUAUGGAGGAAUAUUGACAAUUUUUGGAGGGAGAGUUUUAGGUUUCGAAUUUUAAUGAACAGUCAUGCCCAAUCAAUUUGGGCGGAAUUUUUUUGGAACGGAGUUUUGACAGUAGCGGAAUCUAAUAGGUUAAGGCAAGUUUUUUUUUUUAAUUUUUUCAUGCUCACUAAGUAAAACAGGAGCGCUUUUAUCCAUGUCAAUGUGGCUCUUUUAUAGCCUCUUAUUGAGGCUUGUGAGGGGACUGUUCAGGGACGGUCCUUCUGAUGACCGUCCCUGCCCCGUAUCCCCACUGAACCUCCUCUGUCCAAGUCAUUGCGCCUCUAAAUAGUAAAUAAACAAAGAUGGAAAAAUAGCCAUUUUCGUCCCUAAACUUUUUUUGUCCGUCAAUUUAGUCCCUAACUUUUAUUUUUAGCCAAUUUAAUACAUGAAUUUAAUUUUUGGAUCCAAUUAAGUCCUUCCGCCGCCACCUAAAAGUAAUUUAGCUCCUAAUUUAACAUUAAACAAGGGCAUUUUGGAAACUUUGAAUUAUUUCUUCUCCACUACCAGCCUCCACCACCAACCACCCGCCUCAUCCUUCAUGAUCGGCAAUUUUGGAUAUACCAGCAACACCAGUAAUCCAUCGGCGGAGGGAUUACUACGGCUCCGCGGCCUAAAAUUUGAAAGAUUGGAAAAGAAGCCAAUGUUUCCCAGCAAGAACAGAGCAAUAAAAACCACGCAUGUCAAAACCACAUAUCCACUCAUGGUUCGCCAAAUUGGCCGAGUCCGAGUUGACUCAGCCGAGUCAUAACCGGAACGGGCUCACCGGUAUGAUACCGACACCCGCAUCGCCGUUUCACCGGAAUCCGAGUUGACUCGGAUUGACUCGGUCGAUAUUUACCGAGUCAACUCAAAUCAAUAAGAAAUCAGUAAAACUUACCGAGUUUGACCGAGUCAACUCGCGAGUCAGACAACAAAAUCACCCACAUGAUUUCUUCUUUCUCCCACCGGUUGCCAUCCUCAUUCCAUCACUUCUGCCAGUGCAACCCAUCAUAAUUAGUUGAGGUUUCUUGAGGGUUGUGAUUGUAAGACUCGUAAUUUCGUUGGGAUUGAUCAUAAUCUUCAGAUUGGGAGUACAACAAGAAGAAUUGGAGCAAAUUUGGAAGUAAGAUGAAUCUGUAAAAAUUUUGUGGGAUUCGGGGUUUUGGAAAUUUUUGUAGGUGGUGGUAAACUGGUAAUGGUGGUGGAGCUUGAGAAGAGAGAGACAGAGAAGAAAUAAAGGGGGGGAGGCGGUGGAAAGAUGAAUCUGUAAAAAUUUUGUGGGAUUCGGGGUUUUGGAGAUUUUUGUGGGUGGUGGUAAACUAGUAAUGGUGGUCUUGAGAAGAGAGAGACAGAGAAAUAAAGUGGGGAAGGCGGUGGAAUGGAAACGUUUUCUAGGGAUUAUGGGAGGCAGUGUGGGUUGUGUAGGUGGGAAUGUGAGGGGAUAGAAUGGAGUGAGGAGAGAGAGAGAGAUAAACACCCAACAAAAAAAAAAGAAAAAGAAAAAAUUACAGCUAAAUUACAGCUCAAAGGCCACCAGAUUCUAUCUCACGUCCUUUCCAACUUUCUCUCUAACCCGAACAAACAUUUCUU
RNAcentral lists this long non-coding RNA (4056 nucleotides) under Coffea arabica (coffee). RNAcentral's name for it is "long non-coding RNA (CARA_LNC000042)". Lineage: Eukaryota; Viridiplantae; Streptophyta; Magnoliopsida; Gentianales; Rubiaceae. The record is from RNAcentral.